Boleophthalmus pectinirostris (great blue-spotted mudskipper) is the source of this 2583-nucleotide long non-coding RNA. RefSeq lists it as uncharacterized. The record is from RefSeq and is a predicted model, not a curated record. The transcript is spliced from 3 exons. Lineage: Eukaryota; Metazoa; Chordata; Actinopteri; Gobiiformes; Gobiidae.
ACGACUUUUUCUGGUUUCGACUUUAUUCUCAUAUUACAAUGUUGUCGAAAUGUUGUGUCUUUCUUCUCAUAGUGCCAGCAUUUUUUUUUUUUUUUUUUUAAUCUGACGCUUAUACUCCGUCGUACUUUGAAAAUAAAAUAAAUCCAUAAAAAAACACAACAAAUAAAAACAUUCACAUAUAAAAGGGACAAUGUCACCUUUCAAGAUCUUGUUCUCGCCUGGAUUUUUUUCUUAAUUUUGUGUUUAAAACUCUCACUUUUACCCCCUAAUGAGGUUUUAUAUAUAAUUUUUUUCACUACAACCUGUUAUUUUCACAAUCUGCUGCUGUAGUUGUGUCAUAAUCACUGUAAUAAAAAGUACAGGUCCCGAAAUACACGUGGAAAAAAGCAAAAACGAAAAAUAAAAUUCACACUUUUUCAUACAAAACACAGCAAACAUGUUUAAACAACUUUUUGGACUUAAAAAAAGCUUAAUUUAGGGCCUUAGCUACAAAAGUACAAAAUAUCAAGUCUGUAAAUAAAGUAAAAAUCUCCUUAUUCCCUCAAAACAACAACAAAAAAAACUCCAUGACUUUCCUCAGGUCCAGGGCUCAGAGCCACAUCACUUCUGCAUUUCCAUGUGUUUAUUACAUUUGGAUUUGGACGUUUGGACUCAAAUAAACCUGAAAAUAAAACUAUCCAGGGAUGUGCAAUGACACAGAACAAGAUUAAGCGUAAUUUGUCCAUUUACGUGAGAAACAUCUGCACUUAGAGCGACUUUUUUUAUUGUUCUGAACACAGACGCUCAGAGCAUCGGCCGUUUUGACUCACUACACUCUUUGGACCAAUCAAAAUGGACGGAGUGCAGGAGUUUGAUGGAAAACAAGGUUCCUACGUCACAAAACCACGUGACCUGAUGUUUAUGCUGCCAGACUGGAGUCAAACUCCAUCUGGACCAACGUGUAGUGUUGUAUUUUCUGCACUAUGAACAGUGUUAUGAAGUUUACUUUUAAAAUGUAAUCCCCUACAGAUUACAUCCCCCAAAAUGUAGUUUGUAACGUAAUCCAUUAAAUUACUUAAAGUGAGUAAUGUAAUCUGAAUACUUUGGAUUACUUGAUUUGUUGUAGAGAAACAAAGACGAGGAAAUCUUCACAUAAGAAGUUUUGUCUGAUAAAAGAAAAUAAAAAGUCCAGAUUUUACUGAACCAAAUAAAAAAUAUUAUUGAUAGAAGAAGAAGAAACAGGUCCACACAGCAGGAUUUAGUCCUGUUAAAUCCUGUUUUAGUCCUGGUUUAGACCUGCUUUAGUCCUGGUUUAGACCAGGUUUAGACCAGGUUUGAAACUGGAUAAGAAAAAAAAAACAAAACCCAACAAUUCCAGCCCCUGCAGCGAGUCUUCAGCUCCGCUCCUGAGCCUCUCUCCUCUUCCUCUUUUUAUGAGUUGAUGAGGUUAUUUUUAGUCUGGCCAGUAGGUGGCAGCAAGAACAAAACUCAGGUGACCAGGUGUGUCUCUGGAAUCAUUGAUUUAGGCCCAGGUGAACAAACACAAACAGAACCAAACGAAGGAACGUGAAGGAAACACAGAGACGCUGUGCGGACGCCAAAACAUUAAAUCACGUGACUGACACGUCAAACGCAAAUCCUCAGUUGGACACUUGUUUUCCCGAUGUGAACGUGCUCGGAAAACCACAACUAAAAAAGUCCGACCGACCGUGAACCAGACGUGUCAUUUAUUGUUCCUGGACUGACUCCGAGUGACCAGCAGAUGGCGCUGGAUCCUCGCUGCAGCUCCGAGGUGAAACAGAAGCUGCUGCUGUGGAGGCUCAGAUCUGCACGUCUGAUAUUUAACACUGAAGCAAACUGAAGCAAACUGAAGCAAACUGAAGCACACGUCAUAAUCCUGCGUGUUCAGAUCUUCCUCCAUCGCGAUUUUUACAAACAUCGAGUGAGUUUACGAGCAAACGAGUCUUAUCCCGAUAAUUAUGAGUCUUUAUCCUGGUUCAGAGUCUCAGAUGCUCGUCGCUGUUUGUUGAUAAACUCAUUUUAUCUACAAAAUGCUCAGUUUGUGUUUUCAGGCCGACAGAAUCGUGCUGGUGCUGCUUCUCGCACUGAAUCUGGAACCACCUGACGCAGAACGUUCAGGAACCGAAAUGUUGGUUCCCAAAAGUAAACCAAGUAAAACUAGUUUUUCUAAGUGAACCGUGACGUCACAGUCGACAUGAGCAGGUUCAUCCAAGUCACACACAUAAAAUAAACAUGUGUGAGGAACAUGGAGGAGAAAUCAAGAGACAGAAGAUUGAGCUGAUGGUCAGAGGAGAACAAAUAUUUGCUGUAUCCGUGUUUGCCAUGUUCACAUCUUUAGAUUGGACAUCGCUGCCGCCUUCUCCACAGCCGACGUUUCUCCACAGCCGACGUUUCUCCACAGCAGAUGUUUCUCCACGGCAGAUGAAGCGAUCCAUGAUUACAGUUUCUUUUAAUGUUUAUUUGGCACCAACAAGAAACUCGUCCUUAUAAAAUAUAAAUAAAAGUUAUAAAAAAAAAAACAAAAACAGAAAGAGAAGGAUGAAGUAGGCAAAACCAGAAAGCGAACGUAAACAAACGUGUCCA